AGGAAGUGGUGUAGUGGGAGCACGCGGAGUUUUGGUCUCCAAAGUAUAGGUUCAAGUCCUAUUUUUCUA
Molecule: transfer RNA, 69 nt
Filed under: Rhinatrema nigrum (black caecilian)
Lineage: Eukaryota; Metazoa; Chordata; Amphibia; Gymnophiona; Rhinatrematidae
Description: tRNA-Gln
Rfam family: tRNA
About the family: Transfer RNA (tRNA) molecules are approximately 80 nucleotides in length. Their secondary structure includes four short double-helical elements and three loops (D, anti-codon, and T loops).
Source: RNAcentral